Molecule: ribosomal RNA, 251 nt
Filed under: uncultured prokaryote
Description: partial 16S rRNA
Rfam family: Bacterial small subunit ribosomal RNA
Source: RNAcentral
ACGGGGGGUGCAAGCGUUGUUCGGAAUUAUUGGGCGUAAAGCGCGUGUAGGCGGUUUGUUAAGUCUGAUGUGAAAGCCCUGGGCUCAACCCAGGAAGUGCAUUGGAUACUGGCAGACUUGAAUACGGGAGAGGGUAGUGGAAUUCCUGGUGUAGGAGUGAAAGCCGUGGAUAUCAGGAGGAACACCGGUGGCGUAGGCGGCUGCCUGGACCGAUAUUGACGCUGAGACGCGAAAGCGUGUGUAGCAAACAG